AUACGUAGGGGGCGAGCGUUGUCCGGAAUGAUUGGGCGUAAAGGGCGCGUAGGCGGCGCGGUAAGUCUGGAGUGAAAGUCCUGCUUUCAAGGUGGGAAUUGCUUUGGAUACUGCCGCGCUUGAGUGCAGGAGAGGUUAUCGGAAUUCCCGGUGUAGCGGUGAAAGGCGUAGAGAUCGGGAGGAACACCAGUGGCGAAGGCGGGUAACUGGACUGCAACUGACGCUGAGGCGCGAAAGUGUGGGGAGCAAACAGGAUUAGAUACCCUGGUAGUCCACACUGUAAACGAUGAAUGCUAGGUGUAAGAGGUAUCGACCCCUUUUGUGCCGGAGUCAACACAAUAAGCAUUCCGCCUGGGGAGUACGGCCGCAAGGUUGAAACUCAAAUGAAUUGACGGGG
This 397-nucleotide ribosomal RNA is filed under the name uncultured bacterium. Its description in RNAcentral is "partial 16S ribosomal RNA". It matches the Rfam family "Bacterial small subunit ribosomal RNA", at positions 523 to 918 of the family's 1533-position model. The record is from RNAcentral.